GACGAACGCUGGCGGCAUGCUUAACACAUGCAAGUCGAACGGAGCACCCCUGAACGAGGUUUCGGCCGAAGUGAAGGGAAUGCUUAGUGGCGGACGGGUGAGUAACGCGUGAGCAACCUGCCUUGAAGUGGGGGACAACAGUUGGAAACGACUGCUAAUACCGCAUAAUAUAUCUGAGUCGCAUGGCUUGGAUAUCAAAGAUUUAUCGCUUCGAGAUGGGCUCGCGUCUGAUUAGGUAGUUGGCGGGGUAACGGCCCACCAAGCCGACGAUCAGUAGCCGGACUGAGAGGUUGAACGGCCACAUUGGGACUGAGAUACGGCCCAG
This 325-nucleotide ribosomal RNA is filed under the name uncultured bacterium. RNAcentral describes it as "bacterial SSU rRNA". It matches the Rfam family "Bacterial small subunit ribosomal RNA", at positions 28 to 334 of the family's 1533-position model. The record is from RNAcentral.